UGGGGAAUAUUGGACAAUGGGCGAAAGCCUGAUCCAGCCAUGCCGCGUGUGUGAAGAAGGUCUUCGGAUUGUAAAGCACUUUAAGGUGGGAGGAAGGGCAUUAACCUAAUACGUUAGUGUUUUGACGUUACCGACAGAAUAAGCACCGGCUAACCCUGUGCCAGCAGCCGCGGGCAUACAGAGGGUGCAAGCGUUAAUCGGAAUUACUGGGCGUAAAGCGCGCGUAGGUGGUUUGUUAAGUUGGAUGUGAAAUCCCCGGGCUCAACCUGGGAACUGCAUUCAAAACUGACUGACUAGAGUAUGGUAGAGGGUGGUGGAAUUUCCUGUGUAGCGGUGAAAUGCGUAGAUAUAGGAAGGAACACCAGUGGCGAAGGCGACCACCUGGACUAAUACUGACACUGAGGUGCGAAAGCGUGGGGAGCAAACA
Molecule: ribosomal RNA, 427 nt
Filed under: uncultured bacterium
Lineage: Bacteria
Description: partial 16S ribosomal RNA
Rfam family: Bacterial small subunit ribosomal RNA
Source: RNAcentral